GCAUGGCCCGGUGUGAAAAACUCCGGUGGUAUGAGAUGGACCCGCGUCUGAUUAGCUGGUUGGAGGGGUAACGGCCCACCAAGGCGACGAUCAGUAGCCGGCCUGAGAGGGUGAACGGCCACAUUGGGACUGAGACACGGCCCAGGCUCCUACGGGAGGCAGCAGUGGGGAAUAUUGCACAAUGGGGGAAACCCUGAUGCAGCGACGCCGCGUGAAGGAAGAAGUAUCUCGGUAUGUAAACUUCUAUCAGCAGGGAAGAAAAUGACGGUACCUGACUAAGAAGCCCCGGCUAACUACGUGCCAGCAGCCGCGGUAAUACGUAGGGGGCAAGCGUUAUCCGGAUUUACUGGGUGUAAAGGGAGCGUAGACGGAAGAGCAAGUCUGAUGUGAAAGGCUGGGGCUUAACCCCAGGACUGCAUUGGAAACUGUUUUUCUAGAGUGCCGGAGAGGUAAGCGGAAUUCCUAGUGUAGCGGUGAAAUGCAUAGAUAUUAGGAGGAACACCAGUGGCGAAGGCGGCUUACUGGACGGUAACUGACGUUGAGGCUCGAAAGCGUGGGGA
This 560-nucleotide ribosomal RNA is filed under the name uncultured bacterium. Its description in RNAcentral is "bacterial SSU rRNA". It matches the Rfam family "Bacterial small subunit ribosomal RNA", at positions 188 to 767 of the family's 1533-position model. The record is from RNAcentral.